Molecule: ribosomal RNA, 468 nt
Filed under: uncultured bacterium
Lineage: Bacteria
Description: partial 16S ribosomal RNA
Rfam family: Bacterial small subunit ribosomal RNA
Source: RNAcentral
GACGAACGCUGGCGGCGUGCUUAACACAUGCAAGUCGAACGGAAAGGCCCUGCUUUUGUGGGAUGCUCGAGUGGCGAACGGGUGAGUAACACGUGAGUAACCUGCCCUUGACUUUGGGAUAACUUCAGGAAACUGGGGCAAAUAACGGAUAGGAGCUCCUGCUGCAUGGUGGGGGUUGGAACGUUUCGGCGGUUGGGGAUGGACUCGCGGCUUAUCAGCUUGUUGGUGGGGUAGUGGCUUACCAAGGCUUUGACGGGUAGCCGGCCUGAGAGGGUGACCGGCCACAUUGGGACUGAGAUACGGCCCAGACUCCUACGGGAGGCAGCAGUGGGGAAUAUUGCACAAUGGGCGGAAGCCUGAUGCAGCAACGCCGCGUGCGGGAUGACGGCCUUCGGGUUGUAAACCGCUUUCGCCUGUGACGAAGCGUGAGUGACGGUAAUGGGUAAAGAAGCACCGGCUAACUACGUG